Molecule: long non-coding RNA, 971 nt
Organism: Pleuronectes platessa (European plaice)
Lineage: Eukaryota; Metazoa; Chordata; Actinopteri; Pleuronectiformes; Pleuronectidae
Exons: 3
Source: RefSeq, a predicted model, not a curated record
ACCCAAAAGCAGCACAGGCAGACGAAAUCUCAGUCGGUAAUGCCCUUUAUUAUUCACUGCAGUCUUUAACAGUUUAUACAGUGGCAGGGUGAGAAGUCUUGGCUCCAGUGAUCCUCUGCGAGAUCUGAGAAGGAGUGAGCCUGGUGUUGCUGACUGAAGGCAAAGUCAACAGCAGGUGGAUUACCUAGCUGGCAGACAGGUCCAGUGGUGAGCUGUGUAGCCACAGAGUCGAGCAGGUGCGUAACCAGGAGGGAAUAGGCGAGACUCGUGGUCGAAUACAGAAGGCUGAGGUAAUAUCCAGGGCAGAGACGGGGCAGGCAGGUCGGCAACAGGUGAUCAGUCCGGGGAAAAACCGCUGGAAGUCAGGCAUAACACAAGAACAAUCUGGCACUGAAGCAGAGACAGGAGCAGGCUUAACUGCAGCCAGGGCUGUCACAGGUGUGGAGAGUUGGCCUGAUGAUGAGGCGUGGCUAACAGGUAGAGUGGAGCAGAGACAGGUAACAGAGCCACUUGAGCUUGUGGGGAUGGAUUUGGUUGGCAAACUGUCAUCGACCAAAAAUGGCUGUCAGUACAUUUGUGUCAUGAUCGACUAUUUCACAAAAUGGACAGAGGCCUAUCCGUUGAGGAUCAAAUGUGCUGCUGAGGUCACAGACUGCAUUCUUGACUUCUUUUAUAAGUUUGGUGCUCCAAAAAGGCUUCUAACCCUUACCCUUUUUCCUCAUGUUUGGACGUGAGGCCAGGUACUCUACGGAGGUUCCCGAGGAGUAUAUGGUGACAGAUGAUGGUGUGGAGGCUCUUUUUGCCCAGGAGACCCAAUCUCUGGUAAUGGAGGGUCUCCCUGCCCACUACAGCCUGACUCAAGCCAACAUGGGGAAAGUGAGGGAAUAGAUAAAGAGAAAGAGAGAGGAGAUGGGUCAUGACGACAAUUUCAAAGUUGGCCCAAAGGUGAUGAGGGCAAAUAUACGCCAGGA